Poeciliopsis prolifica (blackstripe livebearer) is the source of this 1072-nucleotide long non-coding RNA. RefSeq lists it as uncharacterized. The record is from RefSeq and is a predicted model, not a curated record. The transcript is spliced from 3 exons. NCBI's taxonomy places the organism in Eukaryota, Metazoa, Chordata, Actinopteri, Cyprinodontiformes, Poeciliidae.
CUACAAUCAUCCAGGAGACUCAGGAGUGAAGCUGCUGUCGGCUGGACUGAAGGAUCCACACUGGAGACUGGAAGCUCUCAGGGUGGAGCCUGCUGGAGGCCGAUUCUUGACUCCAGGUCUGAGGAAAUAUUCCUGUCAACUCACCAUCGACAAAAACACAGUGGGCAGAAACCUCAAACUGUCUACAGACAACAGGAAGGUGACAUGGAUGAUGCAGCUUCAGUCAUAUCCUGAUCAUCCAGACAGAUUUGAUUACUGGCACCAACUGCUGUGUAGAACUGGUCUGACUGGUCGCUGUUACUGGGAGGUCAAGUGGAGAGGAAGAGUUGAUAUAUCAGUGAGUUACAGAAGAAUCAAGAGGAAAGGAAACAGUGGAGACUGUGUGUUUGGAUGGAAUGAUCAUUCCUGGAGUUUGAUCUGCUCUGAUGAUGAUGGUUAUUCUGUCAUUCAAAAUGACGUACAAACUCAUCUCUCCUCCUCCUCUGACUCUAACAGAGUAGCAGUGUAUGUGGACUGUCCUGCUGGCAUUCUGUCCUUCUACAGAGUCUCCUCUGACUCACUGAUCCUCCUCCACACCUUCAACACCACAUUCACUGAACCUCUGAUUCCUGGAUUUGGAUUCUGUUCUUAUGGUUCCUCAGUGUUUCUGUGCUGAUUUGAGUCUAAAUAAGUGGUCCCCGUUUUUUUUUAUACCAUGAACCGAUCAAGAUUUGGCAAUUUUGCUGCGGCCCAGGGGAAAGGAGUGAGCCAUCAAAUAAUACUUCUGCAUGUUCCCGCUAAAGUCUUUUUUCUUUUGCCUUUACGACAAUCUUACUAUAUCCUACAGUGUAUGGUAUGUUGAAUAUGCCCGAUCUAAAAUCAGAAAGCACAGUGACGUAAGAACGGAGGGGAAUCCCAAACAAUUGACCUGGCAAUUGAGAGUUCGGUGGACAUUGGAAGUGAUAUGUGGAAAUGUUUAUUAUUAUGUGGUUAUGUUUAUUCAGUUUAAAAUGUUAACUAGAAUAAGACAUAACUUCCCUCCAAAUUGUAGAGGUAACACAUUACCAUCUCAUGAAGGUUAGAGGUCAAUGGU